UCGAGGAUCUUCGGCAAUGGGCGCAAGCCUGACCGAGCGACGCCGCGUGCGGGAUGAAGGCCUUCGGGUUGUAAACCGCUGUCAGUGGGGAGGAAAUGUACGUGGGUACUCCCACGUAUUUGACCUAUCCGCAGAGGAAGUGUGGGCUAAGUUCGUGCCAGCAGCCGCGGUAAGACGAACCACACAAACGUUAUUCGGAAUCACUGGGCUUAAAGGGUGCGUAGGCUGCGCAGCAAGUUGGGUGUGAAAUCCCUCGGCUCAACCGAGGAACUGCGCCCAAAACUGCUGUGCUCGAGGGAGAUAGAGGUGAGCGGAACUUAGGGUGGAGCGGUGAAAUGCGUUGAUAUCCUAAGGAACACCCGUGGCGAAAGCGGCUCACUGGAUCUCUUCUGACGCUGAGGCACGAAAGCUAGGGUAGCGAACGGGAUUAGAUACCCCCGUAGUCC
Molecule: ribosomal RNA, 446 nt
Filed under: uncultured bacterium
Lineage: Bacteria
Description: bacterial SSU rRNA
Rfam family: Bacterial small subunit ribosomal RNA
Source: RNAcentral